RNAcentral lists this ribosomal RNA (328 nucleotides) under Blastocystis sp. subtype 15. RNAcentral describes it as "SSU rRNA". It matches the Rfam family "Eukaryotic small subunit ribosomal RNA", at positions 42 to 348 of the family's 1831-position model. Lineage: Eukaryota; Bigyra; Opalinata; Blastocystidae. The record is from RNAcentral.
GAUUAAGCCAUGCAUGUGUAAGUAUAAAUAAUUAUAUAGUGAAACUGCGAAUGGCUCAUUAUAUCAGUUAUAGUUUAUUUGAUAAUUAAUUUGAAAUUUCUUUUGAAAUUUUAAUACUAAUUGGAUAACCGUAGUAAUUCUAGAGCUAAUACAUGAAUUAAAAUCCUAACCUUUAUGGAAAGGAUGUAUUUAUUAGAUGAUAAAACCAAUAUAAUUAAUAAGGUGAAUCAUAAUAAUUAAUCGAAUCGUAUGGUUGUAAAAUACUAACGAUAAAUCAUUCAAGUUUCUGCCCUAUCAGCUUUCGAUGGUAGUGUAUUGGACUACCAUG